Molecule: ribosomal RNA, 465 nt
Filed under: uncultured bacterium
Lineage: Bacteria
Description: partial 16S ribosomal RNA
Rfam family: Bacterial small subunit ribosomal RNA
Source: RNAcentral
CCUACGGGUGGCAGCAGUGGGGAAUAUUGCGCAAUGGGCGAAAGCCUGACGCAGCGACGCCGCGUGAGGGAUGAAGGUCUUCGGAUCGUAAACCUCUGUCAGCAGGGAAGAACGGUCACUGUGCUAAUCAGCAGUGAAUUGACGGUACCUGCAAAGGAAGCACCGGCUAACUCCGUGCCAGCAGCCGCGGUAAUACGGAGGGUGCGAGCGUUAAUCGGAAUUACUGGGCGUAAAGCGCUCGUAGGCGGUAUGUCAAGUCAAGGGUGAAAUCCCCGCGCUCAACGGGGGAACUGCCUUUGAAACUGGGAAACUGGAGUGUGUGAGAGGAUAGUGGAAGUCCAGGUGUAGGAGUGAAAUCCGUAGAUAUCUGGAGGAACAUCAGUGGCGAAGGCGACUAUCUGGAACAUAACUGACGCUGAGGAGCGAAAGCGUGGGUAGCAAACAGGAUUAGAUACCCCAGUAGUC